This 236-nucleotide ribosomal RNA is filed under the name Salmonella enterica. RNAcentral describes it as "partial 23S ribosomal RNA". It matches the Rfam family "Bacterial large subunit ribosomal RNA", at positions 2697 to 2925 of the family's 2925-position model. The record is from RNAcentral. Lineage: Bacteria; Pseudomonadati; Pseudomonadota; Gammaproteobacteria; Enterobacterales; Enterobacteriaceae.
GUGUUCGGGUUGUCAUGGUGUUCGGGUUGUCAUGCCAAUGGCACUGCCCGGUAGCUAAAUGCGGAAGAGAUAAGUGCUGAAAGCAUCUAAGCACGAAACUUGCCCCGAGAUGAGUUCUCCCUGAGACUUAGAGUCUCCUGAAGGAACGUUGAAGACGACGACGUUGAUAGGCCGGGUGUGUAAGCGCAGCGAUGCGUUGAGCUAACCGGUACUAAUGAACCGUGAGGCUUAACCUU